Molecule: ribosomal RNA, 460 nt
Filed under: uncultured bacterium
Lineage: Bacteria
Description: partial 16S ribosomal RNA
Rfam family: Bacterial small subunit ribosomal RNA
Source: RNAcentral
CCUACGGGUGGCAGCAGUGAGGAAUAUUGGUCAAUGGACGAGAGUCUGAACCAGCCAAGUAGCGUGAAGGAUGACUGCCCUAUGGGUUGUAAACUUCUUUUAUCAAGGAAUAAAACGAGGCUCGUGUGCCUUUUUGCAUGUACUUUAUGAAUAAGGAUCGGCUAACUCCGUGCCAGUAGCCGCGGUAAUACGGAGGAUCCGAGCGUUAUCCGGAUUUAUUGGGUUUAAAGGGAGCGUAGACGGGUUGUUAAGUCAGUUGUGAAAGUUUGCGGCUCAACCGUAAGAUUGCAAUUGAUACUGGCAGUCUUGAGUAGAGUUGAGGUAGGCGGAAUGCGUGGUGUAGCGGUGAAAUGCUUAGAUAUCACGAAGAACCCCGAUUGCGAAGGCAGCAUACUAAACUGUGACUGACAUUGAGGCACGAAAGUGUGGGUAUCAAACAGGAUUAGAUACCCUAGUAGUC